Molecule: transfer RNA, 73 nt
Filed under: Caldimicrobium sp.
Lineage: Bacteria; Pseudomonadati; Thermodesulfobacteriota; Thermodesulfobacteria; Thermodesulfobacteriales; Thermodesulfobacteriaceae
Description: tRNA-Gly
Rfam family: tRNA
About the family: Transfer RNA (tRNA) molecules are approximately 80 nucleotides in length. Their secondary structure includes four short double-helical elements and three loops (D, anti-codon, and T loops).
Source: RNAcentral
GCGGGCGUAGCUCAGUUGGAAGAGCAUCAGCCUUCCAAGCUGAGGGUCGCGGGUUCGAAUCCCGUCGCCCGCU